UCGAUUGGAUUCAAUGGGAUCCAACGCUUUUCAAUGGGGAGGAAGGGGGGGGGCUUCAAAGUCGGGCCCCCCCCCGGAUAGACGGAGACCCCCCCCCUCGUCUCAAUCCGACCCCAAUGUGUCUCUAUGGGCCGGGGGGGGGCGGGGGGGGCGGCUGCUGAGGCUGCAGUUGAAGGCGGAGGAGGCUGAGAGGCUGAUGGGGCUGUAUUACAGCCUGGGGGAGCACCUGCAGGUAACCAGCUGCCCCAUAGCUGCCCCAUAGCUGCCCCAUAAGUGCCCUAUAGAUGCCCCAUAGCUGCCCCGUAAGUGCCCUAUAGAUGCCCCAUAGCUGCCCCAUAAGUGCCCCAUAGCCACCCUAUAACUGCCCCAUAACCACCCCAUAGCCACCCUAUAACUGCCCCAUAGCUGCCCCAUAGCCACCCUAUAACUGCCUCACAGCCGCCCCAUAACUGACCCAUAGCAACCCCAUAGCAGCCCCAUAGCCGCCCCAUAGCCGCCCCAUAGCUGCCCUAUAGCUGCCCCAUAGCUGCCCCAAAAGUGCCCGAUAGCUGCCCCAUAGCCGCCCCAUAGCCGCCCCAUAGCUGCCCUAUAGCUGCCCCAUAGCUGCCCCAUAAGUGCCCCAUAGCUGCCCUAUAGCUGCCCCAUAGCUGCCCCAGAACCACCCCAUAACUCACUGAGGGGGGGUCCCACAUUGAGGGAGGGGGUUCCCAGAUUGGGGAGGGGUCCCAUAAUGGGGGGUGGGGGUCCCAUAUUAAGGGUGGGGGUCCCAUAAUGGGGAGGGGUCCCACAUUGAGUGGGGGGGUCCCACAUUAAAGGUGGGGGUCCCAUAAUGGGUGGGGGUCCCAUAAUGGGGAGGGGUCCCACAUUAAGGGUGGGGGUCCCAUAAUGGAUGGGGGGUCCCACAUUAAGGGUGGGGGUCCCAUAAUGGGGGGGGGUCCCACAUUAAUGGUGGGGGUCCCAUAAUGGGUGGGGGUCCCAUAUUAAGGGUGGGGGUCCCAUAAUGGAUGGGGGGUCCCACAUUAAGGGUGGGGGUCCCAUAAUGGGGGGGGGUCCCAUAUUAAGGGGGGGUCUCCCACAUUAAGGGUGGGGGUCCCAUAAUGGGGAGGGGUCCCACAUUAAGGGUGGGGGUCCCAUAUUAAGGGUGGGGGUCCCAUAAUGGGUGGGGGUCCCAUAAUAAGGGGGGGGCCCCACAUUAAGGGUGGGGGUCCCAUAAUGGGUGGGGGUCCCACAUUAAGGGUGGGGGUCCCAUAAUGGAUGGGGGU
This 1262-nucleotide long non-coding RNA is filed under the name Coturnix japonica (Japanese quail). Its description in RNAcentral is "lncRNA (ENSCJPG00005002152.1)". The record is from RNAcentral. Lineage: Eukaryota; Metazoa; Chordata; Aves; Galliformes; Phasianidae.